CCGAGUUUACAACUCCCAAACCCCUGUGAACAUACCACUUGUUGCCUCGGCGGGAAUCAGCCCGCUCCCGUUAAAAACGGGACGGCCGCCAGAGGACCCCUAAACUCUGUUUCUAUAUGUAACUUCUGAGUAAAACCAUAAAUAAAUCA
RNAcentral lists this unclassified non-coding RNA (149 nucleotides) under soil metagenome. RNAcentral describes it as "partial internal transcribed spacer 1". The record is from RNAcentral.